GGGCCUGUAGCUCAGUUGGUAGAGCACCGCGUUUACACCGCGGUUGUCGUCGGUUCGAGACCGGCCGGGCCCA
This 73-nucleotide transfer RNA is filed under the name Janibacter cremeus. It matches the Rfam family "tRNA". From Rfam's summary of the family: Transfer RNA (tRNA) molecules are approximately 80 nucleotides in length. Their secondary structure includes four short double-helical elements and three loops (D, anti-codon, and T loops). Lineage: Bacteria; Bacillati; Actinomycetota; Actinomycetes; Micrococcales; Intrasporangiaceae. The record is from Rfam by way of RNAcentral. RNAcentral also lists the same sequence under 4 other names.